RNAcentral lists this ribosomal RNA (253 nucleotides) under uncultured bacterium. RNAcentral's name for it is "partial 16S ribosomal RNA". It matches the Rfam family "Bacterial small subunit ribosomal RNA", at positions 524 to 776 of the family's 1533-position model. The record is from RNAcentral.
UACGUAGGCAGCAAGCGUUGUUCGGAAUUACUGGGCGUAAAGAGUGUGUAGGCGGUGCUCUAAGUCUGUCGUGAAAUCUCCCGGCUUAACUGGGAGGGUGCGGCGGAUACUAUUGUGCUAGAGGGUGGGAGAGGUAAGCGGAAUUCCUGGUGUAGCGGUGAAAUGCGCAGAUAUCAGGAGGAACACCGAUGGCGAAGGCAGGUCUCUGGGCAUUAACUGACGCUGAGGAGCGAAAGCAUGGGGAGCGAACAGG